AAAAUAAAAUUUCAAUUGAUGAUGAGGACCAUUGUGUGAAUGUCUUGCAGGUAUUUUUUUAUCACUAAUCUUGAACCAGUGAAGACAAUUGAAUUUGUAAACUCUACCAUUCUUACCUGCAGGUUUUAUGAAGGUGUUGUGCAACCUUAUAACCCAGGAAAGAAGAAACAUGUAAUACUAUUUGACGAUGGAGAUGUGGAAGUUCUUCAGUUAUAUAAGGAGCAGGGGGAGGUUAUUAGUGAAGGUUCCGAUCCUAUCAAGUGACCUAAAUCAUCGAAUGUUUCUCCAUCCAAAGGAAUGCUAUUGCACAGGUAAUAACAGAAGCUAUGAAGACAGUUCUUAUGACAUGAUUUUACACUGAUUUUCUCCUCAUCUAUUUUUAUGUCUUGGCUUCAAAUAGGCUUGAGCAGCUGCAGAUGUUAUCAGUCCCACUGAUAUG
Molecule: long non-coding RNA, 439 nt
Organism: Magnolia sinica
Lineage: Eukaryota; Viridiplantae; Streptophyta; Magnoliopsida; Magnoliales; Magnoliaceae
Exons: 4
Source: RefSeq, a predicted model, not a curated record